AUCUCUCGGUUAAAUUACGCUGUCCUCACUCUCAUUCCUAAAGUUAAAGGGGCAGAAUUGAUCUCUAAGUUUAGACCUAUAGCCCUGAUUAAUAAUUUUGCUAAACUAUCGGCAAAAGGCCUUGCUACUAGGCUCUCCCCUAUUUCCCAUCAUACUCUCAGUCCUUUCCAAUCGGCCUUUGUUAAGGGCAGGUUUAUAUUAGAUGGCAUCCUUUGUCUCCAUGAGAUUGUUCAUGACCUGCGAGUCCGGGACUCCAAAGCGGUGAUUCUAAAACUUGACUUCGAAAAAGCUUACGACUCGAUUAGUUGGAAUUUCCUUCGACAAGUGCUUCUGGACAAGGGCUUUGACAGUGCAGUGGUUCACAGACUUAUGCAGUUGGUCACGGGUGGCCACACUGCGGUCUCUGUCAACGGGAACAUCAGUCACUUCUUCUCCAACGACAGGGGCCUGAGGUAG
RNAcentral lists this ribosomal RNA (456 nucleotides) under Triticum aestivum (bread wheat). RNAcentral describes it as "partial small subunit ribosomal RNA". The record is from RNAcentral. Lineage: Eukaryota; Viridiplantae; Streptophyta; Magnoliopsida; Poales; Poaceae.